UAAUACCGGCAGCUCGAGUGGUAGCCGCUUUUAUUGGGCUUAAAGCAUCCGUAGCCGGUCAGGUAAAUCCCUGGGUAAAUCGUACAGCUCAACUGUGCGACUUCCGGGGACACUGCCUGACUUGGGACCGGGAGAGGUUAGAGGUACUCUUUGGGUAGGGGUAAAAUCCUGUAAUCCUUAGAGGACGACCAGUGGCGAAGGCGUCUAACCAGAACGGAUCCGACGGUGAGGGAUGUAGCCCUGGGGCACGAACGGGAUUAGAUACCCCGGUAGUCCAGGGUGUAAACGCUGCAGACUUGGUGUUGGUUGUCCCACGAGGGCAACCAGUGCCGGAGAGAAAUUGUUAAGUCUGCCGCCUGGGGAGUACGCUCGCAAGAGUG
RNAcentral lists this ribosomal RNA (380 nucleotides) under uncultured Thermoplasmata archaeon. RNAcentral describes it as "bacterial SSU rRNA". It matches the Rfam family "Archaeal small subunit ribosomal RNA", at positions 471 to 851 of the family's 1478-position model. The record is from RNAcentral. Lineage: Archaea; Methanobacteriati; Thermoplasmatota; Thermoplasmata.